This 650-nucleotide small RNA is filed under the name Histoplasma ohiense. Its description in RNAcentral is "hypothetical lncRNA". The record is from RNAcentral. Lineage: Eukaryota; Fungi; Ascomycota; Eurotiomycetes; Onygenales; Ajellomycetaceae.
AGCUGUUACCAGUAUCAUGCUCUCUUGGUUCUGUAUGGAUGGUCGGUCAUACACUAAAGUUUUGAUACUGUGCAAUCCUUGAAUCGUACAGAACGGGCAGGAUCAUGGAAGAAGCAACCAGUAAUCGACCCUGCUGCGGUGGAUGCUUGUCCAUUUUUUGGGCGUUCCUUUGAAGACAAAAGUUCCUCUUUUUGUUUGGGCUGGCUGGCUGGGCAGCUAGCUGAUUUUGCAUCGCUAUGAUAUACGGGAUAUACGCAAGGUAAAACGCACGACCCUGUAUACAUUCCGCACAAAGCGCCCAUCAUGGGCAUGCCCCAAAUGUUCACGUAUUUUCCCCCGCUGUUGCUGCUGACGAGUACUUCGCCUCCGGCUGGGCUCGUUUAUGUCCACCGGACGAAAAUCUUGCCGCUACGCAGCAGCAUAUUGAACGAUUAGCGGAUAUUUGGAGUGGACGAAAAGAGCAGCAUGCGGAAUUACUGUAUAAUAAAUAAUCACCCCAAUAUUUAUUCCAAGGGUACAACCAAUUAGAAAGGAGAUGGGAAAAGUCAACGGGAAAGCAAAGGGGUGUGGAAAGUUGGAAUAAAUAAUGGGGGAUCACCUCAAGAUGAGUUAUUGUUACAUACUGUGGACAAAUAGUUAAACUUACAGGA